UUUAGUUUAUGUGAAAAUUCAAUAAUGUUUUAUAUUACUAAACUAAUAUUUGGUUGGGAAAUUUGAUUUUUUGCCAAUGCAAAUAUGUUAAUACUGAUUGAAGUCUUUCAAAACCGUUUGCCAUAUACAAUAUGUAAACGGUAAUUUACACUUAGAAGUUAGAAAGCCGUUUCUUUCUAACACAAUUCUCAUGGGCUCAACGUGCACA
RNAcentral lists this long non-coding RNA (208 nucleotides) under Lupinus angustifolius (narrow-leaved blue lupine). Its description in RNAcentral is "long non-coding RNA (LANG_LNC002812)". Lineage: Eukaryota; Viridiplantae; Streptophyta; Magnoliopsida; Fabales; Fabaceae. The record is from RNAcentral.